Molecule: unclassified non-coding RNA, 355 nt
Filed under: Hevea brasiliensis (rubber tree)
Lineage: Eukaryota; Viridiplantae; Streptophyta; Magnoliopsida; Malpighiales; Euphorbiaceae
Source: RNAcentral
AGAUAACCCUGCAACCCUCUAGCUCGAAUAAAAAGGAGACAUACCCAAAAACAAACCAAGAGAUAGGAAUGGACUGGGUAGAGGCGGUGUACACUAGGGAUGUCAUUGAAAAAAAAAGUACGGCUAAAAAAACUGACCAGGAACAAGCUCACUCCCCGGCGCGUGUACACUAGGCGGAAACCUUCUGUCGGCGAGUGGGAUCAUGCACCUCACCCGAUGGCGGCGAGAAUCCAGGUAAGGAUCGGCGACGAGGUUCUCUUCCUUCCUGAACCCGGUGACAACUACCUCCCUCCCUCAACAGAUCCGCUUUCAAGGCUUACCCACACAUACACUAACUAUUUCUCACUGUUUUCUC